UGAGGGAUCUUCGGCAAUGGGGGCAACCCUGACCGAGCAACGCCGCGUGCGGGAGGACGCCUUUCGGGGUGUAAACCGCUUUUCUGGGGGACGAGGAAUAAGUACGGACGGUACCCCAGGAAGAAGUCUCGGCUAACUACGCGCCAGCAGCCGCGGUAAUACGUAGGAGACGAGCGUUGUCCGGAGUUACUGGGCGUAAAGGGUGCGCAGGUGGCGGCGCGCGUGGGGGGUGAAAUCGCCCGGCUUAACUGGGCGGGGGCCUUCCAGACGGCGUGGCUUGAGCAGCGGAGGGGGACGUGGAAUUCCGGGUGGAGCGGUGAAAUGCGUAGAGAUCCGGAGGAACACCGACGGCGCAGGCAGCGUCCUGGCCGCUUGCUGACACUGAGGCACGAAAGCUGGGGGAGCAAACAGGAUUAGAUACCCUGGUAGUCCCAGCCGUAAACGAUGUCCACCAGGUGCUGGGCGGAUCGACCCGUUCAGUGCCGCAGCUUACGUGAUGAGUGGACCG
This 508-nucleotide ribosomal RNA is filed under the name uncultured bacterium. Its description in RNAcentral is "bacterial SSU rRNA". It matches the Rfam family "Bacterial small subunit ribosomal RNA", at positions 355 to 871 of the family's 1533-position model. The record is from RNAcentral.